Molecule: ribosomal RNA, 602 nt
Filed under: Dothistroma septosporum
Lineage: Eukaryota; Fungi; Ascomycota; Dothideomycetes; Mycosphaerellales; Mycosphaerellaceae
Description: eukaryotic LSU rRNA
Rfam family: 5.8S ribosomal RNA (bases 201-354)
Source: RNAcentral
GGAAGUAAAAGUCGUAACAAGGUCUCCGUAGGUGAACCUGCGGAGGGAUCAUUACUGAGUGAGGGCGAAAGCCCGACCUCCAACCCUUUGUGAACCAACUCUGUUGCUUCGGGGGCGACCCCGCCGUUUCGGCGACGGCGCCCCCGGAGGUCAUCAAACACUGCAUCUUUGCGUCGGAGUCUUAAAGUAAAUUUAAACAAAACUUUCAACAACGGAUCUCUUGGUUCUGGCAUCGAUGAAGAACGCAGCGAAAUGCGAUAAGUAAUGUGAAUUGCAGAAUUCAGUGAAUCAUCGAAUCUUUGAACGCACAUUGCGCCCCGUGGUAUUCCGCGGGGCAUGCCUGUUCGAGCGUCAUUUCACCACUCAAGCCUGGCUUGGUAUUGGGCGUCGCGGUUCCGCGCGCCUUAAAGUCUCCGGCUGAGCAGUUCGUCUCUAAGCGUUGUGGCAUAUAUUUCGCUGAAGAGUUCGGACGGCUUUUGGCCGUUAAAUCUUUUACAAGGUUGACCUCGGAUCAGGUAGGGAUACCCGCUGAACUUAAGCAUAUCAAUAAGCGGAGGAAAAGAAACCAACAGGGAUUCUUAAGCAUAUCAAUAAGCGGAGGA